GAUGAACGCUAGCUACAGGCUUAACACAUGCAAGUCGAGGGCAUCAGGAAGAAAGCUUGCUUUCUUUGCUGGCGACCGGCGCACGGGUGAGUAACACGUAUCCAACCUGCCCUUUACUCGGGGAUAGCCUUUCGAAAGAAAGAUUAAUACCCGAUAGUAUAAUGAUUCCGCAUGGUUUCAUUAUUAAAGGAUUCCGGUAAAGGAUGGGGAUGCGUUCCAUUAGGUUGUUGGUGAGGUAACGGCUCACCAAGCCUUCGAUGGAUAGGGGUUCUGAGAGGAAGGUCCCCCCACAUUGGAACUGAGACACGGUCCAAACUCCUACGGGAGGCAGCAGUGAGGAAUAUUGGUCAAUGGACGAGAGUCUGAACCAGCCAAGUAGCGUGAAGGAUGACUGCCCUAUGGGUUGUAAACUUCUUUUAUACGGGAAUAAAGUGAGGCAUGUGUGCCUUUUUGUAUGUACCGUAUGAAUAAGGAUCGGCUAACUCCGUG
This 489-nucleotide ribosomal RNA is filed under the name uncultured bacterium. RNAcentral's name for it is "bacterial SSU rRNA". It matches the Rfam family "Bacterial small subunit ribosomal RNA", at positions 28 to 507 of the family's 1533-position model. The record is from RNAcentral.